GCCCCCAUAGCUCUAGUGGUAGAGCGUCGCUCUCGUAAAGCGAAGGUCGAGUGUUCGAAUCACUCUGUGGGCA
Molecule: non-coding RNA, 73 nt
Organism: Absidia glauca
Lineage: Eukaryota; Fungi; Mucoromycota; Mucoromycetes; Mucorales; Cunninghamellaceae
Source: Rfam